GGACCCGCACAAGCGGUGGAACAUGUGGUUUAAUUCGAUGACAAGCGAAGAACCUUACCAGGGCUUGACAUCCUGCGAAUCCCGAUGAAAGUUGGGAGUGCCGUAAGGAGCGCAGUGACAGGUGUUGCACGGUCGUCGUCAGCUCGUGCUGUGAAGUGUCCCGUUAAGUCGGUAAACGAGCGCAACCCCUCUCGUAUGUUAAAUUUUUCAUACGAUACUGCCGGCGUUAAGUCGGAGGAAGGUGGGGAUGACGUCAGAUCAGCGUGACUCUUACGCCCUGGGCGACACACGUGUUACAAUGGGUAGCAACAAUGGGUUGCCAAGUCGAAAGGCGGAGCUAAUCCCAUCAAACCUACCCCCAGUUCGGAUUGAGGGCUGAAACUCGCCCUCAUGAAGUCGGAAUCGCUAGUAAUCGUGGGUCAGCCAUACCACGGUGAAUACGUUCUCGGGUCUU
This 454-nucleotide ribosomal RNA is filed under the name uncultured bacterium. Its description in RNAcentral is "bacterial SSU rRNA". It matches the Rfam family "Bacterial small subunit ribosomal RNA", at positions 917 to 1382 of the family's 1533-position model. The record is from RNAcentral.